Long non-coding RNA from Neofelis nebulosa (Clouded leopard), 725 nucleotides. RefSeq lists it as uncharacterized. The transcript is spliced from 2 exons. NCBI's taxonomy places the organism in Eukaryota, Metazoa, Chordata, Mammalia, Carnivora, Felidae. The record is from RefSeq and is a predicted model, not a curated record.
GAAGGCGGAAGGCAGAGUGUGUUAGGGCGGAUUCAGGCAGUGUCUGCUGUAACCACUCAAGGGACACAGCUGAAAGGGGCUGUGAGUCAGCAGCGGGGGUGAUGUCACAAGGCGUCCUCGGGGCUCCCUGGAGAAUGGCGCAGUGAGCACAGAGCCAGGGAGGCUGUCCUGCUCUCGGAGGGAGGGGAUCCCGGGACAGGAGGGUCCGAAGCAGACGAGGCCCCGAGGUGUCAGGGGCUUGGCCUUGCCCGGCCUCCGGGCUGUCACCCCCAGGUAGGUUCCAGGGAGGGGAAAGGAGGGGACAGUUCCAGCUAGGUUCUGGGCCCUGGCCGGUUCCGGGGUGCUGGGGCUGCAGGGCAGGGCGCCGCGUGCCUGGGCUGGCCCUGCGCUCUGUCCGCAGGACCGGACUGUCGUGCUGUGCGCGGCCCCGUCCACACCCAGCCCGAUGGCGGGCUCAGAAUCGGUGCUCCAUAACACGGAAGAGGAGGGCGUGCUGAUGAGCACGGACGGACGUUCCGAGGACCACAGACAAGAAUCGGGAGGAGAGGGGCGCCUGGGUGGCGCAGUCGGUUAAGCGUCCGACUUCAGCCAGGUCACGAUCUCGCGGUCCGGGAGUUCGAGCCCCGCGUCGGGCUCUGGGCUGAUGGCUCAGAGCCUGGAGCCUGUUUCCGAUUCUGUGUCUCCCUCUCUCUCUGCCCCUCCCCCGUUCAUGCUCUGUCUCUCUC